Molecule: small RNA, 127 nt
Filed under: Escherichia coli
Lineage: Bacteria; Pseudomonadati; Pseudomonadota; Gammaproteobacteria; Enterobacterales; Enterobacteriaceae
Description: partial RtT sRNA
Rfam family: RtT RNA
About the family: This family represents a bacterial cis-regulatory element known as RtT RNA. The exact function of RtT is unknown although it is thought that it may be involved in changing the cellular response in relation to amino acid starvation.
Source: RNAcentral
CAGGUUCGAAUCCUGCACGACCCACCAAUCGCUAAGGUGGAAGCGGUAGUAAAACGUGAAGGAUAACGUUGCGUCAGCAACGGCCCGAAGGGCGAGACGAAGUCGAGUCAUCCUGCACGACCCACCA